AGAGUGUUGUCAAAUUGAAAAACUGACAUGGGAAAUGAAUGCAAAUUAAAAGGGGAAGUGGGCUAUGUUGGGCUUGGGCUCGUCCCUAGUCCGGUUGGUGUUGGGGUGUAUCACAAAACUUCUGUAAAGUUGAUUAGAGACGACUUCAGACGAGUCAAACGUCCGUACACAACUACCACACUACACACAGUUUGUUGAUUCCUGUUGAUCUAAAGAAAAUCCGGAGUCAGUGCAUGAACUUGGUGCUUCCUAACCUUAUGUGAAGUUGAGAUUUGGAAAGCGGGAAGAUAAAAUGAAGAAGAUGAACCAGAAGAGGCAUACAGUUUCUUCGACAAAUUCUUAUCAGCUAGUAGCAAUAAUUUCAUCGAUGUCAUCUUUACUUAAUCUUCUCCAAUGAUGUUUCCUCUCCUCGAGUCGUCCUGAUAUGAUAUGUGCUGAAGGGGGGCGAAUCUUGGAGCAACCAGUAAUGUUAUUCCUGGUAAGUACUCUGCUAAUACACAAUUGUCUUACCUCUUAAAAUUAAUGAAAAGAACAAGAGAAAACCCGUGGAAUAAUUUAACAAGACUAAAAAAAUACAUAUAUGUAUGUUUGAACAAUUCGAAGUAUAAAGUAUUAGCUAUGAUUAGUUGAAAAAGAUCUUAAACCCGUUGUUUGAUUUAGAAUCACCAAGAAAGAUAAGAACUAGAGUCACCAGCUAGCUGGACGGCAUGUAACCAAAACAAACUUCAAUAGAAUAAAAAUCUAUCAAGAUUCAAAUUUCAAAAUACGUCUUAUCCAAUUAAAUCAAUACACCAAAAAGAAUCAUUUCCUCCAUAGAUCCUUCCCUUGAACUCUCCGCCAAAUCUUUUGUAAAUAGCCAAUAAAUCCAAGAACAAAAGACUAUAAGAAUGAAAACACAAAACCUCCAAUAGCCUUCCACUGUAUUCUUUAGUCUUUACACACCAUAUGGGAGGUUCAACAAAAGAGAAAGGUGUGCUUAAACUAGUGCAUCCAGGUAGACAUGUUGAGUAUCACAGAAGCUCAAUCACAGCUGCUGAAAUCAUGAGGAAGAAUCCUAGACACAGUAUCACUCGCCCUGAUUUCUUUAAGAAUCCUUAUAUAGUUGUUCGCCCUGAAUCCAUUAUGGUUCCUGGUCAAGUGUUUUACAUUGUCCCAAACAAAACCGUAUAUAAAUUGGUCAAACAUAGAAGAAGUCAACUCUCUUCACAUCCAAAUGAGUCUCCAAAUCCAAACACUAGUGAUCAUAAUCAAGCUUCCCAACAGAUCUCACCAUCAAAAUCAAUGGCAGGAAGGACACCUAUUUCUGAAUACAAGUUUCAUGAUCAGGAACAAGAAGGAUCAAGUUCUUGUGAAGAAAAUACGUUGGAUGAUGAUGAUGAUGAUGGUGAUAGUUUGACUUUUCAAGCUAGAGACUAUUAUCUAAAUAGAAAUGGUUCAGCAUGGGGAAGAACUGCAAACUAUGGUCAACAAGGUACCAAUUUGAAAUCCUGCAUGAAGAAGGAGGGCCGUGUUCGGGUAUCCCCAAACCUAAGGGUGACUUUUGACUUUAGUACAAUCAUCCAAUAUUAUUGGAACUGAACUCCCCAUUGUUGAAAACGUCAGUUCUGUGUGAAAAAGGCAUGAGAUCAUAGUCUUUAUGUUCUGUGAGGUCAUAAUAGUAGAACAGAACAAUUCAUGCUUCUUUGGAUCAUAAAAGUUAUAAUAUUGAGUUUUAUGGGGUGUUUGGUUUGCCAAAUGUUUUUGGAAUGAAUUUGGUUGGCAGGAAAUUGAAUGGAAUUCGAUAAUAAAAAUUGGAUAACUUAUAAGUUUUUGGUUAUAAUUACUUUUUCUAUUUCUAUUAUAUUCCAGUAUCUGUAUAAAUGAGGGUAUUUUUAGUUUUUUAAUAAUGAAAGGAGGAACGGAAAUGAAUUCCUUCCACCUUCCCUAACACCCCGUUCCCGAGUUCAACUUAAGGAGAGAAAGGAAAAGAAAUGGGUGGAAAUGAGAAGAAAAUAAAAGAAAUUGGUGUUCCCGAGUUUCAUUAAAGGAGAGAAUUGGAAGGAAGUGGAGGGAAAUGGGAGGAUCACUUUCCCUCCUAACUUUCCUUCCGAUUUGGGAGGAUUUGGAAAGAUAUAACAAAAUAAUUCAUUUUCCUUCCACUUCUCUCUAACUCGGAACACAAAAGAAAAUUUUGUUUUCUUUUCCUUUCUCUUCUUUUCUCUCGUGACUUUCUUUUCUCUUCUUUUCUUUUGUUAAACUCGGGAACGAGGCGUAAGAAAUGGUGAAAUCCAUCAAACACGCCAUAGAAUGGAAUGGAAUCUCGAAUUCCAGUUCCAUCGGAUUUUGCUAGAAUCCUCAAACCGAACACGCCCUUAUACAAUAUUUGAGAAACAAAAUACUAUAAACAUAAUCGAAUUAUAUAUCAACUCUAAAUACGUACUUUUAUUAAAAAGUAAAAAACAAAUAUUCCUAAACAAAUUGCUUCAUUCUGUUCUGACUGUUACCUUAGAAUCAGUUCUUUGUGAAUUCCUGGAUGGAGAUGUUGAUCUGGAUCCCCUUGAAGAACUAUGUCCAAAAAGAUUAAAUUUACUGAUUUUCUUGGAAAACGAACUCAUAAAUUUACGUGAGUUAGACUUUUCCAUAUUCCUCUUCAUACAAACAUGCUCUUUUUCCAAAUCAUUCAAUCUCAUUCUUAACCGAGUCAAUUCAAGUUUAAGCUCCCGGUUUUCUCGCCUGAGUGAUGCAUAGUUAUCCUUUGGAGACAUAGCAGCACUGAGAGCACCACUGUUGAUCCGCCAUGACUGGUGGUGCACUGGCGGUGGCUUCUGGUGGUCACCACCACCUAGGUCAGAGCAGUAUAAGGCGUUUCUAAGUCUUAAUUGCUCGAUGUAUAGAACUUGGACGAUUGAUUGAAGUGGCAGGCGAUCGUUUUGUGCAGCAUGUGCACCCGCUUCUGGUGACAGUUUCUGGAAAUCGAUUAAUUUGCAGAGCUUCUUUUUCUCAGCUUCUGAUAAACCCUGAUGAGCCUACAUGCAAGUUUUGUUUCUAGAAUCAGUUCAAAGUUGUAACAUUUUUUUAUAAAAUAAUCGUGUUAGUAGUAAUUAGCAUGAAAGUAAUUUUAAAAAACCUCUAAUAAAAUAUCAUUAAAUUUUUAUAUAACUUAAUACAUUUACCCUAAAGUACCGAAAGAGGGAGCAUGAAUAAAUACCAUUUAAACUUAAGUUGUGUGAUACCCAUAUAUUACAUUAGUUUAUUUUAAAAAAAUUAAAUAUGAAAUUUUAACAAUUUGAAAAGUUUGAAUUUAUAUAAAAAAUGAGAAUUUUUUUGAAUUAUUAAAAUUAAUGAGGCUUUAAUGUAUUGAAUACAUUACAUAUAUAAAUCAUUUCUAAUAAAUACCUUAUAUAUAUAUAUUACUUUACAUAUUAAAUGUGAAAUUUUAAUUUAAUAAAAUAAAAAAUACAAUAAAAUAACAAGUAAAAAAUAGAAAAUUUAAAAAUUUUAGAAAAUGUCAUGUGUCCAAAUGAAGGAGAAGAGAACAUGUGGCAAAAAAACCUCCAUUAAUUAGAGUAGAUAUAAUAAUUAAAAAAUUGAUUCAUGACUAAUUUCAGUCCGGUGGUUCAGGGGCGUUUGGGAUUUUGCUUAUAUAACUUAAUAAACAUUAUUUUUGGUAAAGUGCUUGUUAGCUUAUGUGGCGAUAAAAAUGAGUUUCUUAAAAAGUGUUUGGAUUACCUUCAAAAAAAAUUUAAUUGAUAAAUUUAUAGUCAUUUAGGUUAAGAAGUUAUUUUCAAAAGUAAAUAGCAUGUGACUUUUUAAAAUCUUUUUUUAGGAUAAUAAAAGUUGUUUUCAAAAACACUUUUCUAUUUUCCAAAUAUAUAUAUUUUUUUGAAACUUAUAGGCUUUUUGAAAAGCUAAUAAGUCAAUAAUCAAUUUUCAAAAUCCUGAACACCCUCUUUUAGUUUAAGAAAUAAGAUUAAUUUAAGUCCGGAUUGACUAUAUGAGAACUCUUUUAGUUUAAGAAAUAAGAUUAAUUUAAGUCCGGAUUGACUAUAUGAGAAGUAGUUGUCCGUUGUUGGUUAGGAAGAUUGACCAUCAGUCAAGUCUUUUUAGGAAAUGUUUUGGGUAACUGAGAGUAUUUGUGUCACCAUGAAAAGGGGGACAAAGACUCGUCGGUACAAAAGACGUAAAUACCCUCCUUGUUCUUAUCAUAAAAAAUAAAUCUACGAGUAUUUGAACUAGAUUCUUUGUGGAAUCAAAAGACAUACCUUAAGGUAAACAUCAAUGGAUCGAUAAAGUCCAUCAUGGACGGUCCGAGCAUGCGCGGGUAAACACUCUGCAACGGCUAUAAACCUAGAAAGUUUAAGAUUUGCAUCCGGCGCUAUUUCUGCAAGAUAAUUAUCAACCAACUUCGAAACCUUAAACAAAGCCGUUUCAGAUGGCGAAUCAAGACCAUCAGAUCCAAAACCCGAACCAUCUUGAUCAUCAUCAUCGUCAUCAUCAUCACUCUCGUCUUGUUGCGCAAAAUUAACCAAAAUCCUAUGAACCGUAUCCACAUCAAACAACGUAUCACCAGCAUGCCGAAAA
Non-coding RNA from Lactuca sativa (garden lettuce), 4560 nucleotides. The record is from RefSeq and is a predicted model, not a curated record. NCBI's taxonomy places the organism in Eukaryota, Viridiplantae, Streptophyta, Magnoliopsida, Asterales, Asteraceae.